RNAcentral lists this ribosomal RNA (2871 nucleotides) under Luteibaculum oceani. RNAcentral's name for it is "23S ribosomal RNA". It matches the Rfam family "Bacterial large subunit ribosomal RNA". Lineage: Bacteria; Pseudomonadati; Bacteroidota; Flavobacteriia; Flavobacteriales; Luteibaculaceae. The record is from RNAcentral.
AAAAGCUAAUAAGAGCGUACGGGGGAUGCCUUGGCUCUCAGCGGCGAUGAAGGACGUGGUAAGCUGCGAAAAGUUACGGGGAGGUGCACACAACUAGUGAUCCGUAAAUAUCCGAAUGGGGCAACCCAUCAUGUUGAAGACAUGAUAUCCGAAAGGAGGCUAACCCGGGGAACUGAAACAUCUAAGUACCCGGAGGAAAAGAAAAUAAAAAUGAUUUCCCUAGUAGCGGCGAGCGAACGGGAAAAAGCCCAAACCAUAAUUGUUUCGGCAAUUAUGGGGUUGUAGGACUACAACGUGGACUUACAUUAUAUAAUAGAAUGUGUUGGAAAGCACAGCCAUAGAAGGUGAUAGUCCUGUAUAUGAAAUAUAGUGUAUACCUAGUAGUAUCCUGAGUAGCGCGAAACAUGUGGAAUUUUGCGUGAAUCUGCCAGAACCAUCUGGUAAGGCUAAAUACGACUGAGAGACCGAUAGCGAACUAGUACCGUGAGGGAAAGGUGAAAAGUACCCUGAAUAAGGGGGUGAAAAAGAACCUGAAACCGUGCGCUUACAAGCGGUGGGAGCCUUCGGGUGACCACGUGCCUUUUGCAUAAUGAGCCUACGAGUUACCGUUACUGGCAAGGAUAAGGUCUUCAGGACUGGAUCCGAAGCGAAAGCGAGUCUGAAUAGGGCGUAUAGUCAGUAGUGGUAGACGCGAAACCUUGUGAUCUACCCUUGGGCAGGUUGAAGCUGUGGUAACACACAGUGGAGGACCGAACCGAUAAGCGUUGAAAAGCUUCCGGAUGACUUGAGGGUAGGGGUGAAAGGCCAAUCAAACUAGGAAAUAGCUCGUACUCCCCGAAAUGCAUUUAGGUGCAGCGUUGAGUUAAGUUUAAUAGAGGUAGAGCUACUGAUAGGGCUAGGGGGCUUCACCGCCUACCAACCCCUGACAAACUCCGAAUGCUAUUAAAUGUUUCUCAGCAGUGAGGGCGUGGGUGCUAAGGUCCACGUCCGAGAGGGAAAGAACCCAGACCAUCAGCUAAGGUCCCAAAAUAUAUACUAAGUUGUUAAAACGAGGUCGAACUGCUUUGACAGCUAGGAUGUUGGCUUGGAAGCAGCCAUUCAUUUAAAGAGUGCGUAACAGCUCACUAGUCGAGCGGUACGGCAUGGAUAAUAAUCGGGCAUUAAGUAUAUUACCGAAGCUAUGGAUUGCAGUUUACUGCAGUGGUAGGGGAGCAUUCUAUAGGCGCUGAAGCUGAGUUGCGAGACUUGGUGGAGCGUAUAGAAAAGCAAAUGUAGGCAUAAGUAACGAUAAGGCGGGCGAGAAACCCGCCCACCGAUAGACCAAGGUUUCCUCAGCUAUGCUAAUCAGCUGAGGGUUAGUCGGGUCCUAAGGAUAAUCCGAAGGGAGAUUCCGAUGGCAAACUGGUUAAUAUUCCAGUACCAUCUUAUAUUGCGAUGGGGUGACGGAGUAGUGAAAGUACCGCGUACUGACGGAAUAGUACGUUAAAGAGUGUAGACGUUGAUCGAGUAGGCAAAUCCGCUCGAGAGUUGAACUUGAUAGUACCGCAAAUCUUCGGAGGCGCGGAUAGUGUACCUAAUCAGACUUCCAAGAAAACCCUCUAAGCUUCAGAUAUAAGAUGCCCGUACCCCAAACCGACACAGGUGGUCAAGGAGAGAAUCCUAAGGUGCUCGAGUGAUUCAUGGCUAAGGAACUCGGCAAAAUGGUCCUGUAACUUCGGGAGAAAGGACGCCACGCGCAAGCGUGGCCGCAGUGAAAAGGCCCAGGCGACUGUUUAUCAAAAACACAUGGCUUUGCAAAAUCGAAAGAUGAAGUAUAAGGCCUGACACCUGCCCGGUGCUGGAAGGUUAAAAGGAGGAGUUAUCUUCGGAGAAGCUCUGAAUUGAAGCCCCAGUAAACGGCGGCCGUAACUAUAACGGUCCUAAGGUAGCGAAAUUCCUUGUCGGGUAAGUUCCGACCUGCACGAAUGGUGUAACGAUCUGGGCACUGUCUCGGCCAUGAGCUCGGUGAAAUUGUAGUAGCGGUGAAGAUGCCGCUUACCCGCAACGGGACGAAAAGACCCCGUGAACCUUUACUAUAGCUUCACAUUGAUAUUGGGUAACUGAUGUGUAGGAUAGGUGGGAGACUAUGAAGCUGCGUCGCUAGGCGUGGUGGAGUCAACCUUGAAAUACCACCCUUUAGUUAUCUGAUGUCUAACCCCGCUAAGCGGGGGACAGUGUGUGGUGGGUAGUUUGACUGGGGUGGUCGCCUCCAAAAGAGUAACGGAGGCUUUCAAAGGUUCCCUCAGCACGCUUGGUAACCGUGCGUAGAGUGCAAUGGCAUAAGGGAGCUUGACUGUGAGACCGACAAGUCGAUCAGGUAGGAAACUAGGACAUAGUGAUCCGGUGGUUCCGUAUGGAAGGGCCAUCGCUCAAAGGAUAAAAGGUACUCCGGGGAUAACAGGCUGAUCACUCCCAAGAGCUCACAUCGACGGAGUGGUUUGGCACCUCGAUGUCGGCUCGUCACAUCCUGGGGCUGGAGAAGGUCCCAAGGGUUGGGCUGUUCGCCCAUUAAAGUGGCACGCGAGCUGGGUUCAGAACGUCGUGAGACAGUUCGGUCUCUAUCUGUUGUGGGCGUUAGAAAUUUGCGAGGAUCUGACUCUAGUACGAGAGGACCGAGUUGGACGCACCUCUGGUGUAUCUGUUGUGGCGCCAGCUGCAUUGCAGAGUAGCUAUGUGCGGAUGAGAUAAGCGCUGAAAGCAUCUAAGCGCGAAACUCACCUCAAGAUGAGAUUUCUUUUAAGGGCCGUUGUAGACGACAACGUUGAUAGGCUACAAGUGUAAAGACAGUAAUGUCAAAGCUGAGUAGUACUAAUUACCCGUAGGCUUUUGCGC